Molecule: transfer RNA, 74 nt
Filed under: Pseudomonadota bacterium
Lineage: Bacteria; Pseudomonadati; Pseudomonadota
Also listed under: 1 other name
Description: tRNA-Gly
Rfam family: tRNA
About the family: Transfer RNA (tRNA) molecules are approximately 80 nucleotides in length. Their secondary structure includes four short double-helical elements and three loops (D, anti-codon, and T loops). Further hydrogen bonds mediate the characteristic L-shaped molecular structure. tRNAs have two regions of fundamental functional importance: the anti-codon, which is responsible for specific mRNA codon recognition, and the 3' end, to which the tRNAs corresponding amino acid is attached (by aminoacyl-tRNA synthetases). tRNAs cope with the degeneracy of the genetic code in two manners: having more than one tRNA (with a specific anti-codon) for a particular amino acid; and 'wobble' base-pairing, i.e. permitting non-standard base-pairing at the 3rd anti-codon position.
Source: RNAcentral
GCGGGCGUAGUACAUCGGUAGUAUGCGAGCUUCCCAAGCUUGAGAGGCGGGUUCGAUUCCCGCCGCCCGCACCA